GAGGGUGUAGCUCAGUGGCAGAGUAUGUGCUUAGCAUGCAUGAGGUCCUGGGUUCAAUCCCCAGUACCUCCA
This 72-nucleotide transfer RNA is filed under the name Camelus bactrianus (Bactrian camel). It matches the Rfam family "tRNA". Rfam says of the family: Transfer RNA (tRNA) molecules are approximately 80 nucleotides in length. Their secondary structure includes four short double-helical elements and three loops (D, anti-codon, and T loops). Further hydrogen bonds mediate the characteristic L-shaped molecular structure. tRNAs have two regions of fundamental functional importance: the anti-codon, which is responsible for specific mRNA codon recognition, and the 3' end, to which the tRNAs corresponding amino acid is attached (by aminoacyl-tRNA synthetases). tRNAs cope with the degeneracy of the genetic code in two manners: having more than one tRNA (with a specific anti-codon) for a particular amino acid; and 'wobble' base-pairing, i.e. permitting non-standard base-pairing at the 3rd anti-codon position. The record is from Rfam by way of RNAcentral. RNAcentral also lists the same sequence under 3 other names. Lineage: Eukaryota; Metazoa; Chordata; Mammalia; Artiodactyla; Camelidae.